GGCGCACGGUUCGCCCGAGCCUUACAAGCGGGGGGUCGCAGGUUCGAACCCUGCCGCGCCC
This 61-nucleotide transfer RNA is filed under the name Pseudonocardiales bacterium. RNAcentral's name for it is "tRNA-Ser". The record is from RNAcentral. Lineage: Bacteria; Bacillati; Actinomycetota; Actinomycetes; Pseudonocardiales.